Paramuricea clavata is the source of this 333-nucleotide non-coding RNA. NCBI's taxonomy places the organism in Eukaryota, Metazoa, Cnidaria, Anthozoa, Malacalcyonacea, Plexauridae. The record is from the annotation of a GenBank genome assembly.
CUGGCGGUGAGGACAAUGUUCCUGACGGUGAGCACAAGGUUCUUGCCAAUGAGGACAAGCUUCCUGGCAGUGAGGACAAGGUUCCUGGCGGUGAGGACACGGUUCCUGGCGGUGAGGACAAGGUUCCUGGCGGUGAGGACAAGGUUCCUGGCGGUGAGGCCAUAGGUUCCUGGCGGUGAGGACAAGGUUCCUGGCGCUGAGGACAAGGUCCCUGCCCGUUAGGACAAUGUUCCUGGCGGUGAGGACAAGGUUCCUGGCGAUGAGGACACGAUUCCUGGCGGUGAGGACAAGGUUCCUGGCGAUGAGGACACGGCUCCUUGCGGUGAGGACAAG